CGGAGCGUAGCGCAGCCUGGUAGCGCAUCAGCAUGGGGUGCUGAGGGUCGUGAGUUCAAAUCUCACCGCUCCGACCA
This 77-nucleotide transfer RNA is filed under the name Alphaproteobacteria bacterium. RNAcentral describes it as "tRNA-Pro". It matches the Rfam family "tRNA". Rfam says of the family: Transfer RNA (tRNA) molecules are approximately 80 nucleotides in length. Their secondary structure includes four short double-helical elements and three loops (D, anti-codon, and T loops). RNAcentral also lists the same sequence under 2 other names. The record is from RNAcentral. Lineage: Bacteria; Pseudomonadati; Pseudomonadota; Alphaproteobacteria.